GGAGAGGAAGAUUGUCCGGUGGCAUCCGCGGGCUUCAAACCCGUUGGAAGGCAGCAAACCUGUCUUCGGUAGGUUCGACUCCUACCCUCUCCGCCA
RNAcentral lists this transfer RNA (96 nucleotides) under Gammaproteobacteria bacterium. RNAcentral's name for it is "tRNA-Sec". It matches the Rfam family "Selenocysteine transfer RNA". The record is from RNAcentral. Lineage: Bacteria; Pseudomonadati; Pseudomonadota; Gammaproteobacteria.